Mirounga angustirostris (Northern elephant seal) is the source of this 73-nucleotide non-coding RNA. The record is from the annotation of a RefSeq genome assembly. NCBI's taxonomy places the organism in Eukaryota, Metazoa, Chordata, Mammalia, Carnivora, Phocidae.
ACCUGGCUGGCUCAGUUGGUAGAGCAUGAGACUCUUGAUCUCGAGGUCGUGAGUUCAAACCCCACAUUGGGUG